GUAGGUGGCAAGCGUUGUCCGGAAUUAUUGGGGCGUAAAAGCGCGCGCAGGCGGGGUCCUUUAAGUCUGAUGUGAAAGCCCACGGGCUCAACCGUGGAGGGUCAUUGGAAACUGGGGGACUUGAGUACAGAAGAGGAAAGCGGAAUUCCAAGUGUAGCGGUGAAAUGCGUAGAGAUUUGGAGGAACACCAGUGGCGAAGGCGGCUUUCUGGUCUGUAACUGACGCUGAGGCGCGAAAGCGUGGGGAGCAAACAGGAUUAGAUACCCUGGUAGUCCACGCCGUAAACGAUGAGUGCUAAGUGUUAGGGGGUUUCCGCCCCUUAGUGCUGCAGCUAACGCAUUAAGCACUCCGCCUGGGGAGUACGGCCGCAAAGGCUG
Molecule: ribosomal RNA, 377 nt
Filed under: uncultured organism
Description: partial 16S ribosomal RNA
Rfam family: Bacterial small subunit ribosomal RNA
Source: RNAcentral